RNAcentral lists this ribosomal RNA (450 nucleotides) under uncultured bacterium. RNAcentral's name for it is "partial 16S ribosomal RNA". It matches the Rfam family "Bacterial small subunit ribosomal RNA", at positions 354 to 796 of the family's 1533-position model. The record is from RNAcentral.
GUGGGGAAUCUUCCGCAAUGGACGAAAGUCUGACGGAGCAACGCCGCGUGAGUGAUGAAGGUCUUCGGAUUGUAAAGCUCUGUUAAUCGGGACGAAAGAGCCUAGUGUGAAUAAUGCUAGGAAGUGACGGUACCGGAAUAGAAAGCCACGGCUAACUACGUGCCAGCAGCCGCGGUAAUACGUAGGUGGCAAGCGUUGUCCGGAAUUAUUGGGCGUAAAGCGCGCGCAGGCGGAUCUGCCAGUCUGUCUUAAAAGUUCGGGGCUUAACCCCGUGAUGGGAUGGGAACUAUCUUUCUUGAGUGCAGGAGAGUAAAGUGGAAUUCCUAGUGUAGCGGUGAAAUGCGUAGAUAUUGGGAAGAACACCGGUGGCGAAGGCGACUUGCUGGCCAGCAACUGACGCUGAGGCGCGAAAGCCAGGGGAGCAAACGGGAUUAGAAACCCGUGUAGUCC